Molecule: ribosomal RNA, 271 nt
Filed under: uncultured Staphylococcus sp.
Lineage: Bacteria; Bacillati; Bacillota; Bacilli; Caryophanales; Staphylococcaceae
Description: partial 16S ribosomal RNA
Rfam family: Bacterial small subunit ribosomal RNA
Source: RNAcentral
GUGCCAGCCGCCGCGGUAAUACGUAGGUGGCAAGCGUUAUCCGGAAUUAUUGGGCGUAAAGCGCGCGUAGGCGGCUUUUUAAGUCUGAUGUGAAAGCCCACGGCUCAACCGUGGAGGGUCAUUGGAAACUGGAAAACUUGAGUGCAGAAGAGGAAAGUGGAAUUCCAUGUGUAGCGGUGAAAUGCGCAGAGAUAUGGAGGAACACCAGUGGCGAAGGCGACUUUCUGNGUCUGUAACUGACGCUGAUGUGCGAAAGCGUGGGGAUCAAACA